RNAcentral lists this ribosomal RNA (602 nucleotides) under uncultured bacterium. Its description in RNAcentral is "bacterial SSU rRNA". The stretch from base 1 to 530 matches the Rfam family "Bacterial small subunit ribosomal RNA", at positions 338 to 873 of the family's 1533-position model. The record is from RNAcentral.
CCUACGGGAGGCAGCAGUAAGGAAUAUUGGACAAUGCUCGCAAGAGUGAUCCAGCCAUGCCGCGUGCAGGAAGAAUGCCCUAUGGGUAGUAAACUGCUUUUGAACUAGAGAAAACCCCAGUACGUGUACUGGGCUGAUAGUAUAGUUAGAAUAAGCAUCGGCUAACUUCGUGCCAGCAGCCGCGGUAAGACGAAGGAUGCAAGCGUUAUCCGGAUUCAUUGGGUUUAAAGGGAGCGUAGGUGGACUGAUAAGUCAGUGGUGAAAUCUCCGAGCUUAACUCGGAAAUUGCCAUUGAUACUGUUGGUCUUGAGUACAGUUGCUGUGGGCGGAAUAUGACAUGUAGUGGUGAAAUACAUAGAGAUGUCAUAGAACACCGAUUGCGAAGGCAGCUCACAAAGCUGUAACUGACACUGAGGCUCGAAAGUGCGGGGAUCAAACAGGAUUAGAUACCCUGGUAGUCCGCACCGUAACGAUGAUUACUCGCUGCUAGGGGGCAACCUUUAGUGGCUUAGNGAAGNGANAGUANCACGNGGAGUACGCGCGACGAGACGACGAAGAAGUUAGAGNGNGAGGACGNGCGACGGCGACGACGAGGGAGGAGG